UUCCAGCAGCGAAGCAAGCUAGGAUCAUGGUGGUGAGGCUGUGCUACCGAGGCGGGCCGCUACCGCGGCUGCUCUUCUCGCCUCAGAAGCCCAGGAUUUACUUCCCCGCGGCUGGGCGUGUGGCCGCGUACGGAACCUCAGUGACCUCUGCCAAAGUGUCUGUGAAUGGUGUUCACCUGCAUUAUCAGCAGACCGGAGAGGGCGAGCAUGCAGUCCUGCUGCUUCCUGGGAUGUUGGGAAGUGGAGAGACCGAUUUUGCACCCCAGCUUAAGAACCUAAGUAAGAAGCUCUUCACUGUGGUGGCCUGGGAUCCUCGAGGAUAUGGACAUUCCAGACCCCCAGAUAGAGACUUCCCAGUGGACUUCUUUGAAAGGGAUGCAAAAGAUGCUGUUGAUUUGAUGAAGACGCUGAAGUUCAAGAAGGUCUCCCUGCUCGGAUGGAGUGACGGUGGCAUAACUGCACUCUUUGCUGCUGCGAAAUAUCCAUCUUAUAUCAAUAAGAUGGUGAUUUGGGGAGCUAAUGCCUAUGUCACUGAAGAGGAUGAAAGAAUUUAUCAGGGUAUCCGGGAUGUUUCUAAAUGGAGUGAAAAAACAAGGAAGCCUCUAGAAGCCCUGUAUGGAUAUGACUACCUGGCCAAAACCUGUGAAAAGUGGGUGGAUGGCAUAGGACAGUUUAAACAUCUACCAGAUGGUAACAUCUGUCGGCACUUGCUACCCCUGGUUCAGUGUCCCACCCUAAUUGUGCACGGGGAGAAGGAUCCUCUUGUCCCACGUUUUCAUGCUGACUUCAUACAUGAGCAUGUGAAAGGGUCACGGUGAGUUCAGGCACCACACCAGCACCCCUGCCUGCAAAGUCUCAGUGAACGAGAGGAGCCACAGGAAGGAAAAGAAACAGGAGAAGCUGGAGUUUUAGGUGCACACUAGAACAUAGAGUUACAUCUGAUGCCAGAAGGCAAACACAACCUGCAUUUACGUUUUGCUAAUGAAUUCAACAAGUUAGCAGAAGACUUCCUGCAAUGAAAAUGCCCCUAAGAACUUUUGUGUCAUAGUGGUUCCGUAGCAUCCCACUUCAUCACGUCACUGCCUGUUAGUUACCAUGAUGCCCUGAAGCUCAGAAACUCCCUGCUUUACAUCACAACUCAGUUCACCUGCCUUCCCAGGCUCUCUACCCUCUGAACAAUGUGAUUCUCAGCAAACAGGAAUAAUGACUAUGGGCAGCAGCCUCCAGCUUUAAUAGUUACAGAGAUGAAAUCUUAUUUUUGAACAUGAAUUUGUGAGUUUCUGUCAUUGUCUUAAAAGUAAAUCCCUGCCAUAUUUUAUUUUCAAAUAAACUUUAAGUGGAAAAUUUGUAGUAUUCAUAUCUACUAU
Molecule: RNA transcript, 1367 nt
Organism: Sciurus carolinensis (gray squirrel)
Lineage: Eukaryota; Metazoa; Chordata; Mammalia; Rodentia; Sciuridae
Gene: Bphl
Gene name: biphenyl hydrolase like
Exons: 7
Source: RefSeq, a predicted model, not a curated record